Molecule: ribosomal RNA, 477 nt
Filed under: uncultured bacterium
Lineage: Bacteria
Description: partial 16S ribosomal RNA
Rfam family: Bacterial small subunit ribosomal RNA
Source: RNAcentral
GAUGAACGCUGGCGGCGUGCCUAAUACAUGCAAGUCGAGCGAACAGACGAGGAGCUUGCUCCUCUGACGUUAGCGGCGGACGGGUGAGUAACACGUGGAUAACCUACCUAUAAGACUGGGAUAACUUCGGGAAACCGGAGCUAAUACCGGAUAAUAUAUUGAACCGCAUGGUUCAAUAGUGAAAGACGGUUUUGCUGUCACUUAUAGAUGGAUCCGCGCCGCAUUAGCUAGUUGGUAAGGUAACGGCUUACCAAGGCGACGAUGCGUAGCCGACCUGAGAGGGUGAUCGGCCACAUUGGGACUGAGAUACGGCCCAGACUCCUACGGGAGGCAGCAGUGGGGAAUAUUGCACAAUGGGCGGAAGCCUGAUGCAGCAACGCCGCGUGCGGGAUGACGGCCUUCGGGUUGUAAACCGCUUUCGCCUGUGACGAAGCGUGAGUGACGGUAAUGGGUAAAGAAGCACCGGCUAACUACGUG